CAGAGAGCGUGCGUUUGUCGACAGUCGUCAUUCAUUUGUAGGAACGUUUGCUAACAUAUUUGGAUAAUUGUUCCGGAUUUUACAAAAUUCAGCCGCUUCCUAGUACUUGACGAAGGCAAGCUGAAAAUUACGCCGAACGUCCGGAUUCCGCCAAGCAAGAUCAUGACGUCCUGCUUGCGGUCAUUCCGUGACCCGUGCAAAUUCAAGCCGUGACCCGUGCAAGAAAUAAGUAAGUGCCGAAUGUCGUAUCCGGGAAAGACGUAUGCAGCCCGGUGCCCCGCUUUCAGUCGUUCCGUGAAUCAUGCAAGUUAAGGCUGCGCGAGCAUUUGUUCAUCGCUGUCAAUGGAAUAAUGCUCUUCGGAUGAAUAGAGAAAGCGCGCACAGAUUGGGAAUAUUUUGCCGGUUGUCUGAUCCGGGAAGGUACCAUUGUAUGCAACUCGGUGCUCUGUUUGCGCUCGUAUCGUUUCCCAUACAAGAUCAAGCAGCGCAAACAUCUGAUCAUUACCGCUAUGGAAUAGUGUUCACCGGACUGCAGAAAGCGCGCCCGAUUGCCAACAUUCUGACCAUUUCUGAUCCGCGAAGGUACCAUCGUGUGCAACCUGAAAAAAAAGGCCGCUGGCCGUAGAGAGCUGGCCCGUACGUCGGGUAAAUAUGCCCCUGUCAUUGGUUGGUUAUAACUGUUUCAUGUGCUGACCGUAUCGUGAGGCAAACUUGCAGACCAAUCAGUAUUGCUGCUAUGAACCUCGUUGAUCAUUACCCAAGGUGAUUAAGGAAAAUCGGUGGAGCCUCUAUCGCCAAGCGAGGACCUUCAAAUUUGGUCUUGUUUACUGGCCGUUGUACUGGUCGCCUGCGAUGUGGCUAGAGAUUAAGAAGUAAGGCGUUAUCCGCAGAUGGCGGGUUGCAUCUUAGGUUGCUGUUGCAAAUACCAAAAAGCGUAAGAAUCGAUUUCCUGCUGUCACGUCCAUUACCCGUUGUUAAUGGUAAUCCAAAAGGAUGAGGGUGCGUGAAGAAUUUGGAAGUGGCCCCUUCUUCGAUCCAAUUACACGUCGCCAAUGGAUUUCGUCGCAGAGAUUCGCGAAAAUAUACCUAUACCUACCUAAAAUAUAAAACUUAUUUACAAGACAGUUUUUGAUUCCGGUGCCGUUCAGAUUGUUCCGUUCUUAUUGCGGGGUGAAUUAAUGUCUGAAGCAUUGCCUGCGUCCAACUUGCUAUCGAGAACAGAUAUUGUUUCAGUGGAAUUUUCUUCAACUUCAAGGAAUAUGAUUCUGGAAAGUAGAUUGUUUCAAAAUCUGGAGGCGUUGAGUGUUACCAGCAGAAAUCUCGUUAGAAAGAAGCGGACGUCAGGAUUACGAUGGUGCCGACGAGUGAAAAUAGCAGCGGACAGUCAAGGCAAAGUAAGUGAGAAAUCCGAAUCAAAGCGAAUCAAGCAGAAUGCAGCAAAUCAUGGUAGCCUACUAAGGAAGAACCGUUUUUGCAUGAAUGAUUUAAGACCCACCAAUAAGUAUACAGGGGAGUAUGCAGCAGGAAGUCUUAGAGCGACAUGACGAUCGUGGAGAGGGGAAAAUGCCGACAAAUUCUGUCGAUGUUGACUUGGGUUCUGUUUGAGAACCUUCAAGUCGUCAAAGCCAAAAAAAACCCUGCAUGCCCGGCCGGCUCAAAAAUCAACUGUGUUUGCCGAAAAUGAAACCCAGACAAGUUGCUUCUGGUCACGCUAAAGAAGGUCAUCUAAUUUCAAGGCAAGGAACAUACAUUCCUGGAGAUUGAAAUGCACGGUAUAAGCUGGACAUGGUUGUAGUUGCUUUGUGUGCAGUUUUGCGACCGCUUUGGCAAGGAAACGAUUAUGUGGAUUUGGACAAUGGUGUUCUAACGCACAUGGAUGGGAUCAACAGGGCCACGGUGUUCGUGACUGGCACGUUCAGCCGUCAUCGAUUUAAACUUGCUGUCGUCGCCUGUCAAAAUGCACGCAAACGAUUCCAUUCUGCUCAACUCUCAAGUACCUAGGUGCGGAUUUCGUUAGGUUGAUGACCCAACCUUGGUUCUUGUGUCGAUGUAUGCUUUUAUAAUGGUGUGUGAGGAUGAUUCUGAUUGUAAAGCACAGGUUGUACCCAGGUCCAAGAGCGGUUGUCGUUAGUUUGGUAAUUUUAACCUUAGCU
Armigeres subalbatus is the source of this 2153-nucleotide long non-coding RNA. RefSeq lists it as uncharacterized. Lineage: Eukaryota; Metazoa; Arthropoda; Insecta; Diptera; Culicidae. The transcript is spliced from 3 exons. The record is from RefSeq and is a predicted model, not a curated record.